Molecule: non-coding RNA, 74 nt
Organism: Cyprinus carpio (common carp)
Lineage: Eukaryota; Metazoa; Chordata; Actinopteri; Cypriniformes; Cyprinidae
Source: the annotation of a RefSeq genome assembly
GCUCCAGUGGUGCAGUUGGUCAGCAUGUGGUACUUUUAAUGCCGAAGUUGUGAGUUUGAGCCUCACCUGGAGCA